RNAcentral lists this ribosomal RNA (2881 nucleotides) under Escherichia coli. RNAcentral describes it as "partial 23S ribosomal RNA". It matches the Rfam family "Bacterial large subunit ribosomal RNA". The record is from RNAcentral. Lineage: Bacteria; Pseudomonadati; Pseudomonadota; Gammaproteobacteria; Enterobacterales; Enterobacteriaceae.
GGGUUGUGAGGUUAAGCGACUAAGCGUACACGGUGGAUGCCCUGGCAGUCAGAGGCGAUGAAGGACGUGCUAAUCUGCGAUAAGCGUCGGUAAGGUGAUAUGAACCGUUAUAACCGGCGAUUUCCGAAUGGGGAAACCCAGUGUGUUUCGACACACUAUCAUUAACUGAAUCCAUAGGUUAAUGAGGCGAACCGGGGGAACUGAAACAUCUAAGUACCCCGAGGAAAAGAAAUCAACCGAGAUUCCCCCAGUAGCGGCGAGCGAACGGGGAGCAGCCCAGAGCCUGAAUCAGUGUGUGUGUUAGUGGAAGCGUCUGGAAAGGCGCGCGAUACAGGGUGACAGCCCCGUACACAAAAAUGCACAUACUGUGAGCUCGAUGAGUAGGGCGGGACACGUGGUAUCCUGUCUGAAUAUGGGGGGACCAUCCUCCAAGGCUAAAUACUCCUGACUGACCGAUAGUGAACCAGUACCGUGAGGGAAAGGCGAAAAGAACCCCGGCGAGGGGAGUGAAAAAGAACCUGAAACCGUGUACGUACAAGCAGUGGGAGCACGCUUCGGCGUGUGACUGCGUACCUUUUGUAUAAUGGGUCAGCGACUUAUAUUCUGUAGCAAGGUUAACCGAAUAGGGGAGCCGAAGGGAAACCGAGUCUUAACUGGGCGUUAAGUUGCAGGGUAUAGACCCGAAACCCGGUGAUCUAGCCAUGGGCAGGUUGAAGGUUGGGUAACACUAACUGGAGGACCGAACCGACUAAUGUUGAAAAAUUAGCGGAUGACUUGUGGCUGGGGGUGAAAGGCCAAUCAAACCGGGAGAUAGCUGGUUCUCCCCGAAAGCUAUUUAGGUAGCGCCUCGUGAAUUCAUCUCCGGGGGUAGAGCACUGUUUCGGCAAGGGGGUCAUCCCGACUUACCAACCCGAUGCAAACUGCGAAUACCGGAGAAUGUUAUCACGGGAGACACACGGCGGGUGCUAACGUCCGUCGUGAAGAGGGAAACAACCCAGACCGCCAGCUAAGGUCCCAAAGUCAUGGUUAAGUGGGAAACGAUGUGGGAAGGCCCAGACAGCCAGGAUGUUGGCUUAGAAGCAGCCAUCAUUUAAAGAAAGCGUAAUAGCUCACUGGUCGAGUCGGCCUGCGCGGAAGAUGUAACGGGGCUAAACCAUGCACCGAAGCUGCGGCAGCGACACUAUGUGUUGUUGGGUAGGGGAGCGUUCUGUAAGCCUGUGAAGGUGUGCUGUGAGGCAUGCUGGAGGUAUCAGAAGUGCGAAUGCUGACAUAAGUAACGAUAAAGCGGGUGAAAAGCCCGCUCGCCGGAAGACCAAGGGUUCCUGUCCAACGUUAAUCGGGGCAGGGUGAGUCGACCCCUAAGGCGAGGCCGAAAGGCGUAGUCGAUGGGAAACAGGUUAAUAUUCCUGUACUUGGUGUUACUGCGAAGGGGGGACGGAGAAGGCUAUGUUGGCCGGGCGACGGUUGUCCCGGUUUAAGCGUGUAGGCUGGUUUUCCAGGCAAAUCCGGAAAAUCAAGGCUGAGGCGUGAUGACGAGGCACUACGGUGCUGAAGCAACAAAUGCCCUGCUUCCAGGAAAAGCCUCUAAGCAUCAGGUAACAUUAAAUCGUACCCCAAACCGACACAGGUGGUCAGGUAGAGAAUACCAAGGCGCUUGAGAGAACUCGGGUGAAGGAACUAGGCAAAAUGGUGCCGUAACUUCGGGAGAAGGCACGCUGAUAUGUAGGUGAAGUCCCUCGCGGAUGGAGCUGAAAUCAGUCGAAGAUACCAGCUGGCUGCAACUGUUUAUUAAAAACACAGCACUGUGCAAACACGAAAGUGGACGUAUACGGUGUGACGCCUGCCCGGUGCCGGAAGGUUAAUUGAUGGGGUUAGCGGUAACGCGAAGCUCUUGAUCGAAGCCCCGGUAAACGGCGGCCGUAACUAUAACGGUCCUAAGGUAGCGAAAUUCCUUGUCGGGUAAGUUCCGACCUGCACGAAUGGCGUAAUGAUGGCCAGGCUGUCUCCACCCGAGACUCAGUGAAAUUGAACUCGCUGUGAAGAUGCAGUGUACCCGCGGCAAGACGGAAAGACCCCGUGAACCUUUACUAUAGCUUGACACUGAACAUUGAGCCUUGAUGUGUAGGAUAGGUGGGAGGCUUUGAAGUGUGGACGCCAGUCUGCAUGGAGCCGACCUUGAAAUACCACCCUUUAAUGUUUGAUGUUCUAACGUUGACCCGUGAUCCGGGUUGCGGACAGUGUCUGGUGGGUAGUUUGACUGGGGCGGUCUCCUCCUAAAGAGUAACGGAGGAGCACGAAGGUUGGCUAAUCCUGGUCGGACAUCAGGAGGUUAGUGCAAUGGCAUAAGCCAGCUUGACUGCGAGCGUGACGGCGCGAGCAGGUGCGAAAGCAGGUCAUAGUGAUCCGGUGGUUCUGAAUGGAAGGGCCAUCGCUCAACGGAUAAAAGGUACUCCGGGGAUAACAGGCUGAUACCGCCCAAGAGUUCAUAUCGACGGCGGUGUUUGGCACCUCGAUGUCGGCUCAUCACAUCCUGGGGCUGAAGUAGGUCCCAAGGGUAUGGCUGUUCGCCAUUUAAAGUGGUACGCGAGCUGGGUUUAGAACGUCGUGAGACAGUUCGGUCCCUAUCUGCCGUGGGCGCUGGAGAACUGAGGGGGGCUGCUCCUAGUACGAGAGGACCGGAGUGGACGCAUCACUGGUGUUCGGGUUGUCAUGCCAAUGGCACUGCCCGGUAGCUAAAUGCGGAAGAGAUAAGUGCUGAAAGCAUCUAAGCACGAAACUUGCCCCGAGAUGAGUUCUCCCUGACUCCUUGAGAGUCCUGAAGGAACGUUGAAGACGACGACGUUGAUAGGCCGGGUGUGUAAGCGCAGCGAUGCGUUGAGCU